This 470-nucleotide ribosomal RNA is filed under the name uncultured bacterium. RNAcentral describes it as "partial 16S ribosomal RNA". It matches the Rfam family "Bacterial small subunit ribosomal RNA", at positions 28 to 507 of the family's 1533-position model. The record is from RNAcentral.
GACGAACGCUGGCGGCGUGCUUAACACAUGCAAGUCGAACGCUGAAGCACCAGCUUGCUGGUGUGGAUGAGUGGCGAACGGGUGAGUAAUACGUGAGUAACCUGCCCUUGACUCUGGGAUAAGCCCGGGAAACUGGGUCUAAUACUGGAUGCUACAUGUCACCGCAUGGUGGUGUGUGGAAAGGGUUUACUGGUCUUGGAUGGGCUCACGGCCUAUCAGCUUGUUGGUGAGGUAAUGGCUCACCAAGGCGACGACGGGUAGCCGGCCUGGGAGGGUGACCGGCCACACUGGGACUGAGAGACGGCCCAGACGCCUACGGGAGGCAGCAGUGGGGAAUAUUGCACAAUGGGCGAAGGCCUGAUGCAGCGACGCCGCGUGAGGGAUGACGGCCUUCGGGUUGUAAACCUCUUUCAGCAGGGAAGAAGCCACAAGUGACGGUACCUGCAGAAGAAGCGCCGGCUAACUACGUG